GCUGGAUACAAACAUUGACUGGUUUAUCUUCCCAACAUGGGUACCAGGACAUUGGAUGAUUUGUAAAUAUUGCACAGAUCAUUUCUCCUGGGCCUUGGCAUGAAUACUGUGUCAACGAUAUGGGCCUUCCACGACAACAUUUAAGCAACAACUGUGGCAUUUUUGUCCUUAUG
Molecule: long non-coding RNA, 173 nt
Organism: Clarias gariepinus (North African catfish)
Lineage: Eukaryota; Metazoa; Chordata; Actinopteri; Siluriformes; Clariidae
Exons: 3
Source: RefSeq, a predicted model, not a curated record